UAUAAGAGAUUUUGAGUUUUUGCUUUUAAAGUUUGACCACUCGUCUUAUUUAAUUUUUUUUGAAAUUAUUAUUUAUUUUAUUUGUGACUAGCUUUAUUAUCUACAGUAUUUUAAGCACAACUUUUUGUUUUUUACAUUCGAAAAAAAUAUUUAAAUAAGACGAGUGGUCAAACGUUGCAAGCAAAAACUCAAAAUCUCUUGUAUU
Oryza sativa Japonica Group (Japanese rice) is the source of this 205-nucleotide microRNA precursor. It matches the Rfam family "MIR812 microRNA precursor family". NCBI's taxonomy places the organism in Eukaryota, Viridiplantae, Streptophyta, Magnoliopsida, Poales, Poaceae. The record is from Rfam.